This 2370-nucleotide small RNA is filed under the name Arabidopsis thaliana (thale cress). Its description in RNAcentral is "unknown gene (AT1G33615)". The record is from RNAcentral. Lineage: Eukaryota; Viridiplantae; Streptophyta; Magnoliopsida; Brassicales; Brassicaceae.
UCAUGACUGACAAAGUAAUCUUGUUAAAAAAAUUUCAUCACUUUAAACUCUUUCCUACUAGAACCAGUGCGAGUUUAUGUAAAACCACUUUAAUAUAUUCAGGAGUUCAUCAUUAACUUAUUCAGGAGUUUCAGUUAUAAUCUCAGAAGAUAGCUCCGACCGGGUAUCAAAACUAGAGAAAAAGGUUAGUGCUUUAUAGCAUUGUGUGUUUUCUCAUAUUUCAGUUGUGUGGUUCUGUCUGUUUGAUGUAGUUAUUGUUCCUUAUUUUGUGUAUGAUAUCCUUUUAAUUGGCUUAAUUGAUGUGUAACUUGCUGGAAAAUUUUGUGUGAGUCUGCGGAUGUAGGAGUUGAUAAAGAGACUUGAAUAAGGUAAGCUUUCGUGAUGAAUUGGUAAAUCAUUUUCUAGAUUCUGAACCUUGACUUAUACUGAAACUCACGCCAUAAAAAGCACAAAUUCAACGUAUUAAGUGAAUAAGGUUUGAACUAAUAAUCCUUGAACAAUGGCUGGUGGAGUUGCACUGAGAGGUAAGAUAAUAUGAGCCGAGGAAACAACCAAAUGACGACAGGGAGGAUUCUGAUUUCAAGAUGAAGGAUUGCUUCCUCGGCUGCAAAGACGGUUUGACGACCACCAUUUAAUACAAGGUUUGAACUGGUGAUCUUUUCUCUCCAAGACUAUUCCCUUGGGAAGGUAUUUCUAAUUACCAGAUAAAGUCCAUGUAAGUCAUUCAGUUUAACCAGACAAUAACUAAUUCCCUCUCUGAUAAUUCUGCUGAUCAGCUUCUUUUUGUUUUUCUUGAUGCGAGAAUGAAUCUUAGUUCAAGUGGGUUACAAGGACCAAUAGCCUUUUCCUUUAGAGAUCUCUCCCUCCUCGAGUUAUCGUAAGUGUACAAAUGCAAGCCAUACAAACACACACUUUCCAAGAGCUUUCUUCAGUUGAAAUGGAACUUAUUGACAAACGGUUUGAAGAUGAAGGAUUGUUUGGCUGCAAAGAAAAUCAUUCAGUAGCCAACAAAGGUAUGUAUGGUUAAGUAGCUCUCUCUCUCUCUCUCUCUCUCACUUAUCAUGUCUCUUGCACUGUCUCAAAAACAGAACAUAAAUCAACGAAAAUCCACACUCAAACGCACUCAAAACUAAUUUAAAGUCACCGAAACACAACGAAACAAACAAAAAUCAUAGCAAACAACGUCUAGAUGCAACUUAAAAAAACAGAGAACAAAACAUAAAUCCACGAAAACCCACAGUCAAACGCAUACAAAAAUUAAUUAAAAGCCACCAAAAUACAAAACAAAAUUCAAACGCACAAACAAAAAACAUAGCAUACAACGUCCAAACGCAACUUCAAGAAACAGAAAACAAACUUUCACAGGAUUUUUUUUAACAAAAAAGUAUGAAAAAUCAUAGUUGAUGGCAAGAAAUUGCGUUGUGAUUGUUCCAUUAUUUCUUACUUUCUUAUCUACUUGCUUUAUUAUAGCUUGUAUUAACUUAUAUAUUUGCAAAUACUUUCGUGUACACGAGCAUUGUUUGUAGUUUAAACAAGGUUUUCAUAAGAAAGAGCAAAAGUUUCAGAUACGUGUCAAUAUACUCAUGAAUGAUGAGAGGUUUCAGCUAUGAUCUUCCAUUUAUUCAGAGGAUAGCUCCGACGGAGUAUCCAAAUUAGAAAAUGAAAUAACUUUGUGUGAAUCUGCUGAUGUAUCUAUUAAGGAGUUGAUAAAGAGACUUAAUGAAGGCCCAAAGUCUUGGCGUUGAGAACUUGAUGAUGAUAGAUAUUAUAAACUUGCAAAUAUUUGCAUUAUAUAUUCAGAAAACGAGAAGCAGAAUCUCGCUUCGUUUUUUUCCUAUCUUGCUUUCCAUUAGUUUCUAAAAGUGCUUUCAGUCCAAUGUCUUGGCGUUGAGAACUCGAUGAUGCGAAAAAAGAGAAGCAUGUAUUUAUCAUUUCUAUCUGUUCACACCAUCGAAAGGAUAAAACCAAUGUAUAAAGUCAAUAAGGUUUGGACUGGUGAUCCUUGCUCUCCAAGACUAUUCUUUUGAAAGGAAUUCUACUGAUGAGCUUAGUUCAAGUGGAUUACAAGGACCAAUAGCUGUCUCAUUUAGAAAUCUCUCCCUUUUUGAGUCAUUGUAAGUAUACAAAUUCAAGCCAUACACACACACUACCAACCUCUUUCUUCACAUUAUAUAUAAGAGUCAUGUGCAUUGUUUUCCCAGGGAUUCAUAAAACAACAACCUAAGAAAGGGAUUUCUUUUGACAGACAUUUGAUAAUGUAUUUGUCUCUGACAUUUAUUUGUGUCACAUGAAUUUGAAAGGAAAUUACUUGACUGGGUUUGCCCCAAGAUCUCAUAGGAAAAAAACAAUGGCUAGUGAACUUGCACAGAG